UACAGAGGUCUCAAGCGUUGUUCGGAUUCAUUGGGCGUAAAGGGCGCGUAGGCGGUUCGUACAGUCAGACGUGAAAUUCCUGGGCUCAACCUGGGGGCUGCGUUUGAUACGUGCGGACUUGAGUGCGGAAGAGGGUCGUGGAAUUCCCAGUGUAGAGGUGAAAUUCGUAGAUAUUGGGAAGAACACCGGUGGCGAAGGCGGCCUUCUGGACGAUGACUGACGCUGAGACGCGAAAGCGUGGGGAGCAAACAGG
RNAcentral lists this ribosomal RNA (253 nucleotides) under uncultured bacterium. Its description in RNAcentral is "partial 16S ribosomal RNA". It matches the Rfam family "Bacterial small subunit ribosomal RNA", at positions 524 to 776 of the family's 1533-position model. The record is from RNAcentral.